Molecule: ribosomal RNA, 250 nt
Filed under: uncultured bacterium
Lineage: Bacteria
Description: partial 16S ribosomal RNA
Rfam family: Bacterial small subunit ribosomal RNA
Source: RNAcentral
UACGUAGGGUCCGAGCGUUGUCCGGAAUUACUGGGCGUAAAGAGCUCGUAGGUGGUUUGUCGCGUUGUUCGUGAAAACUCACAGCUUAACUGUGGGCGUGCGGGCGAUACGGGCAGACUUGAGUACUGCAGGGGAGACUGGAAUUCCUGGUGUAGCGGUGGAAUGCGCAGAUAUCAGGAGGAACACCAAUGGCGAAGGCAGCACUCUGGACGUGACUGACGCUGAGACGCGAAAGCGUGGGAGCAACAGG